This 209-nucleotide long non-coding RNA is filed under the name Elaeis guineensis (African oil palm). RNAcentral's name for it is "long non-coding RNA (EGUI_LNC075240)". Lineage: Eukaryota; Viridiplantae; Streptophyta; Magnoliopsida; Arecales; Arecaceae. The record is from RNAcentral.
GACCACCACGGUGAUUUAUAAGCAACUCACUGUACUUUAGUACCGAACCAUCUGAGUUUCUAACUUAGUGAUGGAAGGAUACUAGGUGCAGUCAAGUACUUAUCAAGUCGGUGUGUGAGUCGAGAUAGAAUUGAUCCUCCUGAAUUAGUAAGAAAUAUGCAUCAGUGUAUUUUAAUUUAGCAAAAUCUUGAUCAAAAUAAUUCAUGAGA